UACGUAGGGUGCAAGCGUUAAUCGGAAUUACUGGGCGUAAAGCGUGCGCAGGCGGUUAUGUGAGACAGGUGUGAAAUCCCAGGGCUUAACCUUGGAACUGCAUUUGUGACUGCAUAGCUAGAGUACGGUAGAGGGGGAUGGAAUUCCGCGUGUAGCAGUGAAAUGCGUAGAUAUGCGGAGGAACACCGAUGGCGAAGGCAAUCCCCUGGACCUGUACUGACGCUCAUGCACGAAAGCGUGGGGAGCAAACAGG
This 253-nucleotide ribosomal RNA is filed under the name uncultured bacterium. RNAcentral's name for it is "partial 16S ribosomal RNA". It matches the Rfam family "Bacterial small subunit ribosomal RNA", at positions 524 to 776 of the family's 1533-position model. The record is from RNAcentral.